RNAcentral lists this non-coding RNA (190 nucleotides) under uncultured Alphaproteobacteria bacterium. The record is from RNAcentral. Lineage: Bacteria; Pseudomonadati; Pseudomonadota; Alphaproteobacteria.
AACUCCGACCCAUGCGACGGUCCCCCGGUUUCGGGGGCCGAAAAGGGAAGCCGGUGCGAAUCCGGCGCUGUACCCGCAACUGUCAGCGGUGAGUCCCGAUCCGCGAUCCACUGGGGGAAUACCCCUGGGAAGGAGGAUCGGUGGCGACGACCCGCAAGCCAGGAGACCUGCCGUCGCAUGCGUCAUGUCC